CCUACGGGAGGCAGCAGUGAGGAAUAUUGGUCAAUGGGCGUAAGCCUGAACCAGCCAAGUCGCGUGAGGGAUGAAGGUUCUAUGGAUCGUAAACCUCUUUUAUAAGGGAAUAAAGUGCGGGACGUGUCCCGUUUUGUAUGUACCUUAUGAACAAGGAUCGGCUAACUCCGCGCCAGCAGCCGCGGUAAUACGGAGGAUCCGAGCGUUAUCCGGAUUUAUUGGGUUUAAAGGGUGCGUAGGCGGCCUUUUAAGUCAGCGGUGAAAGUCUGUGGCUCAACCAUGGAAUUGCCGUUGAAACUGGGAGGCUUGAGUAUGUUUGAGGCAGGCGGAAUGCGUGGUGUAGCGGUGAAAUGCUUAGAUAUCACGCAGAACCCCGAUUGCGAAGGCAGCCUGCCAGGCCAUGACUGACGCUGAUGCACGAAAGCGUGGGGAGCAAACAGGAUUAGAUACCCCAGUAGUC
Molecule: ribosomal RNA, 460 nt
Filed under: uncultured bacterium
Lineage: Bacteria
Description: partial 16S ribosomal RNA
Rfam family: Bacterial small subunit ribosomal RNA
Source: RNAcentral